This 484-nucleotide ribosomal RNA is filed under the name uncultured bacterium. RNAcentral describes it as "partial 16S ribosomal RNA". It matches the Rfam family "Bacterial small subunit ribosomal RNA", at positions 30 to 507 of the family's 1533-position model. The record is from RNAcentral.
AUUGAACGCUGGCGGCAGGCCUAACACAUGCAAGUCGAGCGGAUGAAGGGAGCUUGCUCCUGGAUUCAGCGGCGGACGGGUGAGUAAUGCCUAGGAAUCUGCCUGGUAGUGGGGGAUACCGUCCGGAAACGGGCGCUAAUACCGCAUACGUCCUGAGGGAGAAAGUGGGGGAUCUUCGGACCUCACGCUAUCAGAUAAGCCUAGGUCGGAUUAGCUAGUUGGUGGGGUAAAGGCCUACCAAGGCGACGAUCCGUAACUGGUCUGAGAGGAUGAUCAGUCACACUGGAACUGAGACACGGUCCAGACUCCUACGGGAGGCAGCAGUGGGGAAUAUUGGACAAUGGGCGAAAGCCUGAUCCAGCCAUGCCGCGUGUGUGAAGAAGGUCUUCGGAUUGUAAAGCACUUUAAGUUGGGAGGAAGGGCAGUAAGUUAAUACCUUGCUGUUUUGACGUUACCAACAGAAUAAGCACCGGCUAACUUCGUG